Ornithodoros turicata is the source of this 5531-nucleotide long non-coding RNA. RefSeq lists it as uncharacterized. The transcript has 3 exons. The record is from RefSeq and is a predicted model, not a curated record. NCBI's taxonomy places the organism in Eukaryota, Metazoa, Arthropoda, Arachnida, Ixodida, Argasidae.
UGCACCGGGGUCACCAUCUCUUGCCAUUUCCUGGCAAGUACAAGAAACGUUGUGAGAAGAAAUUAUUGCACACUGCAACAGAUCUCGUACUGCUCAUGCAAUGACAUUCUUACCAGGAGCAAUGCCACGUUGUUCUCCUUCAAGGUCCUGUUCGAUUCUUCGUCUCUCUGGCGAGUGAUGCUAGUUUUAAACGAACUUCAACGAGGUUUUUCUUCAGCUUCCGGCACCUUCGUGCCAAGGUGUCAAUCUUUGUCAGCAUUUGGUUCAGCUUCUUUGUUGUGAGGUUGGUUUGUGAUGAUAUCUGUCGACGUGGUCUCGUUGUAGCCGCUAGUGCUGGAUUACUGAUUUCACCAGUACAGUUCCCUUCUGCUGGGUCACACUCCACCUCUGUCAGGGGCAGCCGAUUGAAAGUGGGGUCCCUGUUUUCAUCUGCUUCUUGGAGAGGCUGUCUCUUGGGGGCACCUUAGGAGCGCCUGCAUAAAAGUUUAUUAAGCGUUAAACAAAUACGGUGCAGAAGCGUGCGAACAUUACUUUUGCCGUUCUGCUGGUCCCCCAGUAUUCUCUGCCCUUUGUUUUGGGGCUUUUCGUGGUUUCUUUGGGCAGGGCUGCUUGUAGCUUGGGUACUGUGGAAAAACUGAAGGCACGGCUGUUGGCUUGAGCUUUCUUAUCUUCAGCCCUUCCUUGUAGUCCUCGGGCAUAAAGUGCCGCGAGCACACCUGGGAUCGGUCGUUUGGUCGCCACAGCUCGUUGUUGCGGCCUAUGUGUAAUAAGAUUCCUUAUCGUUAGCAAGGCGCUCGCAAUCACUUGGGAGAAGGGGCUGUACUUUAGAAAAGCAGAAGCAUGCUACUCACCAGACCUUGAAAUAGCCUUAAUCCACGCGUCACGAAGCCCGGACGACGGGAACUCGUGAAACGAAACUUUUUCAUCUCGAACCUUGUUCCCGUCAGACUUGCAGAUGGGCACGCAACAGUAGACCAUGUGAACAGUUCACCAAGUGACACGUAACAGCCUAACACACGUGAAACUAACAAUUACAACUGCUUAACAAGCGCUGAUAACGACAGCAGCAUGCCAAAGUCGGAAGUAAACACGCCCACGGCGAGUGAUGGGCAGGCUACACGCUACACGCGUGCACGGAGGACAGUGGUUUAGCAGCGCCACUCCUCGCGGCAGCGUCGGAAUUACGUACUGCCAGGGCGGCCGGUGAGGAGCGCGUAGUGGUUAGGUCUUCUCUCUAUUUAGUAGGUCUUGGCCUGGAUACAGUGCACCACCUCGGCUUAAAGGGACGGUCUCGUACAGCCGAGGCGAUUCCAAAACUUAGCCAAAACUAGUUUCACGAGUACUGUACACAUACAACCGUCAAAGUUUCAUUCGGAAUAACGAAGUCGUUUUCGAGGAAUUUGUCGAAACGUGCCGUAAGAGCAGACGACGAAAGCUGCGCCUCUCUCAUGCAUACGUCACGUAUGACGUCGGCCUGCGGGUGCGUCGUCGUUGUCAUGGUAAUUGUAACUUGCAGAAGCACCUUGGUUUGAGUAAUCCCCUUUGCUCUCGAAAUGGGGACACUCAGGCAUAUACCUCCGCGAGCGGAGAAUGUAGUCCGAGCAUUGACUGUGGGGUCUCCCAUAAUGUGGCGCACAAUCGGAUACGUGGAAGCUCAGUCACGUGUUUUCUUUCUGCGAGUAUUUAAUGCGGUUUUUAAAUAAACACGUUCUCCUUCUCCAUGUACGUCGUCAGCGACACUUCAUUUCGAAGCAAGAUCAGUGUACAACGAGGAGUGUAAUGGAAGCGCGCGUAAUAUAUUUUUGGUCGGAGCUGUAAUGCGACCGCGCGCGCCGAUGGCCAGCGACUUCAGAUUUGUGAUUGUGGAUGGGGUUGUUCUGCGACUUUUAACUUGUUUCUGAGGAUUAACAUAGUUGUUCUGAACCACCAUGCUUGCCACUACUUAGAUUGCGCGUUUUUCACCUGAGAACUGAAAGAAAAUGUACGAGAGUUGCCGCGGUGCCCAGUAACUUCUGAAGAUCGUCUGCUCAUGCCGAUGCACUAGCACGCGCAAAAGCAGACGAUUUCUGUAUCCUAUCAUGGACUUACCCGCAGGGCGACGUGACCGUUCUUAUUGUUGCCAACACAGAUCGCGGCAUGCUCUGCAAUCUUCAUCAAUUUAAUUCGGUAUUUAAUAACUGUGGCGUGUUUUGUUGCGUAAAUUAGCAGUAUUUCAUUUUCAACAAAGGGCAAUCGAAUGGUACACUUUAUGAAAGAGGCAGGGGGUACGAGACCGUCCCUUUAAGGUUGGUACUUGGAGCUUUCAGGACUUCCCCAGUUCAAAGUCUCUUGCCCGUAUUCACCAGUCCCACUUAGCCACUGCUUUAGUGACGUCUGGUUUAAGUUGAUCACGUGAGUACUUCGUCCGCCAAUCACGAACAACCACCCCGGUGGUCUAACCCGUCUGCAGUGAGGCCCAUGGCGACUUCCAUGGAGUUUGUGUGCGCAGCGCAUAGGCCUAAUCUACGGUUCGCCGGAAAAUUUUCGGAUAAAUUCAGGUAAGUUUUGAUUUGUAAAGCUACUAGAAGUGUUUGAAAGGCGGACGUUCUCACACUGGAAUCAAUAUUUGCCCUGAAUGCCUCAUUUCGUUCACCGUUCACACGGGUUAAACCUGGCGGUCUAGCGACGGUCUAAUUCCCAUGUAUUUACAUAGGACAGGCUUAGACUAGGGGUGGAGGUAGUUUAAAGCCGGUCUAGCGCGGAGCAGCUGUGAAUGAGCCUUUCGAUAAACAACCGAAAAAAUUGUUUUUGCUAGGUCAUGUUGCCUAGUUUUCAAGUCGAAAUUGCACAAACUAAGCAAAAAGAACGGUGUAAGGAACUCGUGAGCGAAGUGAAGCGAUAGAAGUAAUACGCCCGCCGCCGACAAAAAAGGUAAUGAUCAAUAUGGUGUGUAAUUUUGAAAUCCGCUCCAAAAAUUUAAAACCAAGAACGUCAAAGUUAGUGGUGUCAACAUUGGCAGCUAGACACAAGUCACUUUCCGAUCCAAAGCUAACAGAUGGUGUAUGGUUGUACGGCGCCGGCGCUGCACACAGCUGUUACCUCCAGCGACCAAAACGACGCUGAUUAUCCGUGGUACUUUUAAUACAGCUCAUAAGUGCCUCUGUUAUACCUCACUACACUAUAUUGUAUGCAUUCGUGUUGGUUUUGUAGCGCCUCGUAGUGUGAUGUUGCUGGGUUUGACGUAUGGGGCUGGUGCAUAAUGCUUCGGUUAUUGUGAGUGACAAAACGUGUGAUUUCGCAAGUUUGAUGCUUCUGCUGAACUACACGGAGGCCACAAAAGGGGGGUUCUAUGGAGCAGUUAACUCUCCAUGUGCUUUUCAGCUACACAGGAGGAUGGCACAUGUAGCCCGCCUUGGAGAUGUUAAUAGAGUGACGUUCCAAAAUAAUAGUAUUUUGAGAGUACCUGGCGGUAUAUGUUGGAUGUCCCUGUGCAUGACCAAGGAACAAUAUUUCAGGUCUGACUCUGGAAAAGGCACCGUAUGGAGAAAGCUCUAGAUCCCCUUGAAGGCUUGAUUUGCUUGUCAAGAAUGCCAAAUCGCUAUGAGCAUGUCCCUUGCCACAAUUUUGUACAGUACACCACACCAGAAGGGGAGUGCAAAUAUGCCAACAACCAACAUUUCCUCGACUAUGAUGCACUGUGACGUUGGAAAAUAUUCAAGGUAACUUUGUCAAAGUAACAGCUGCCACUGAAAUGAAGCUGAACCAUUGUGCGCCCACAGGGACUAACAUGCAAAGCGUUCGAAUUGUUGGACGAUCUAAGCGUGUUGCACUCCUCCACAGAAAGCUGAACGUUGAACUCAACUGCUCACACGGCCAGCAGCUGCGUAGUGCUAUUUUGUGUCCGAAGUAACUUCGAAGUAACUCGUUCUUGUUUCUAAGGAACUGCGAGUUACAUUUCAGGCUGAAGAACUUGAAUAUUACCUUAGUUACAUUUUUCAUACAGUAACUUAACUCGUAACGAGACGGGUAACUUCUCUAUCUAUGCUAAUUAGUGUAUCACAUGUGAGAGGUAAUAUCAGGUUCCGGCGACGUCUUGCUCCUGGUUCCUACAUCUUACUCCCUCGACAGAGAACCAUGCAGUUCACGGCAGAUCAUCCUUUACUGUACUGAAAAAUGCUGGGAAAUGACGCACAGCGUACCAUUGAACUCCAUUGCAAAAGGCUAUCGCCAAUUUCUCAAGAAAACGGAAGAAACGGUCACGUGGUAGAUAGGAGUAUCUCAGAGUCCCAUUCGCAGGCCAGCACGCUCCCCGUUGAAAAGAGGGCGGGAGACCGCUCCUGUGUUCCCUUCCUCCAUGCUCUGGACCACACGCCAGCCUCUUUCCCUUCGUCGCUAGAGGUCUGCGUUGCUUGUGGAUGUCACUGUGAACUAUUAAAAUUUAUGCCGCCUUCACACUGCGGUGCUGAAUGAAAGGAAGCCGCCGAUGCAAUAAUACAAAAUGUAGCCGUCGUGUAGCUCAUCUUUUUUUACACAUCGAGUUACAAAAAUGUACAGGGAUGUCAUGAACCUUUUGAAGGUGAAGCUGUAGGAGGUACAUGGACUAACCAGUUCUUAGUUUAUUAAUUUGUCUGUUCUAUAAUUUCGGCAAGAUUCCGAGCGAUGCAGAGAGCUUAUGCGCGGCAGCCGAGAGGAAAGUAUAGGCGUUUUUGCCGUCUCGCGAACCGGUUACCGCAUCAUAUUUUUUCGGUUCAGUUCCGGUUCGUUCAAGGAGAGAGAAAAAAUGUUUACGGUUUGGUUCGGGUUCGGUUCGGCAAAAAAUAACGGUUUUUUGCGGUUUUCGGUUACGGUUCAGUUCCGGUUCCGACCCCUGCUUUUGAAUAGUUUCAUUGCAUUAAAGGUCAGCUAUGCCGAUAUCCCAAAUAGUCGAAACGGUUGUGAUAUUCUGAAAGCCCACAUCCAGCUCUCCCCAAAAUGCACCUUCAUUCUCUCAGUUCGGUACAGUACCAUGUCAAAAAAAUAGAUAAUUCAUUCCGAAACACACAUGGGCGCAGCCAUUUUUAUGACGUAGAUGCACCCGAACGGGCAUUGUGACGUGUACGCGCCUUCGUACUUGCCAGUGGAUUUCAGCUACGGCUUCUCGCGGCUUCACGUAUCUGUGCUUGAAGAUGGCGGACAGCCGGGUUCCACCGUUCCGCGAUAAGUAAACAGUGCAGCAGCUGCGAACUCAUUCGCGAACCAACCUCUGUGCGAUGUUGUGAUUGGAAUUCGUCGUUUGUGUUUUGUGAGCAUGUACAAUUUGUAUCAAGUCUCGUCUGCGUUAGCGCCUUUACAGCACUUGCCCAUUGUAGAGACUGACGUUUCGACAGCCGUGUUAGCAAGAAAAUGCCGACAGCGUUUUAUUCCUGCAGGAAAAAAUUGUGCUGUGUAUUUGAGAAACCGCAUACUACUAUGGGACAAGUUUUACGUACGAUUUUUCAAUGUGCAACAGCGUCGACGAUGGUAUGUAACGACGAGAGACGUAAAACGAAAUACAAAUCACAUUUUAAACUUUU